GCUACUACCGACUGAAUGGUUUAGCGAGAUGCUCGGAUCGGGCCCAGCUCGUGCGAAAGCAUGUGCCGGGACUGAGAAGAAGUUCAAGCUUGAUCAUUUAGAGGAAGUAAAAGUCGUAACAAGGUUUUCGUAGGUGAACCUGCAGAAGGAUCACGAUAGGAUGCGCACACGCUUGAACUUCAGUCACAUGGACCUGUCUCGCAUGACGUUACUUGCUUGAAACACCAACAACACUUAUCCUCUCUAUACUAGCUCAACCGCAUUGCAGUAUCUCACC
This 277-nucleotide unclassified non-coding RNA is filed under the name sea anemone metagenome. Its description in RNAcentral is "partial contains small subunit ribosomal RNA and internal transcribed spacer 1". The stretch from base 1 to 156 matches the Rfam family "Eukaryotic small subunit ribosomal RNA", at positions 1678 to 1831 of the family's 1831-position model. The record is from RNAcentral.